UGGUGCCGUCGGCCUAGAGAGAGAGGGAUAAAGAGAGAGAGAGAGGCGUGUUCUAGAGAGAGAAGGAGAGAAAGAGGAGAAAAAGAAGAAGAAGAAGGGAUCAAUCCUAUGUCUUGAACAAUGGGUGAUAUAGUUGAGUAUUGGUCACUUGGGUGUUCUUGAUUUAACAAUCAAGAGAGGUAGCAAAUAUGAUUUAUCUUUGACACGCGUGGUGAUGUGGGGAGUUCUAUCGUCAGGGUGUGUAUAGCAUGGGGGCAUCCUAUGGACGAGAAACGAUCAGUUUAAAACGCCAUUUUCUAAAGAAUAAUGUUAUGUUUAUUUUCAACUUUAAGAAAUUAUCAGUGGGACUUGAACUUUAAUUAUUUUUAAAAUGAUGCAUGAAAACUAUUAUUUUUCCUUUUAAACUAUUGCGCCCAACUUGCAUGUUUUAGUAAGGCCCCACUGUAAUUUCUAUAAUAAGUGGUUUUUCUUCUAUAAAGUUAUGAGUAUGCAAAUGUUUUACAAAGUAUUAGAUUAGGGCGUUUUACAGCUUUAUGCAUGGAUUAUGAGAUUGAUUUAAAUGAAUGUCUAAAUAGUCUUUACUGGAAUGACAGACGUGACAAAAUCAUUUGAAGUUCUCGACCAGAAAGAUUAUGUUGUGAUUCUUAUUCUUAAUAUUGA
This is a long non-coding RNA of Humulus lupulus (European hop), 660 nucleotides long. RefSeq lists it as uncharacterized. The record is from RefSeq and is a predicted model, not a curated record. NCBI's taxonomy places the organism in Eukaryota, Viridiplantae, Streptophyta, Magnoliopsida, Rosales, Cannabaceae. The transcript is spliced from 3 exons.